Octodon degus (degu) is the source of this 105-nucleotide small nuclear RNA. NCBI's taxonomy places the organism in Eukaryota, Metazoa, Chordata, Mammalia, Rodentia, Octodontidae. The record is from Ensembl.
CUUGCUUCUGCAGCAAGUACAGUAAAAACUGAAACUAUGUAGAAAAGAUUAGCAUGACCCCUGUGCAAGGAUGUCACACAAAUUGGUGAAGUAGCCCAUACUUUA